UUGAGUGUGAGGGACUUGACCACUUCGUGUGUUUUUGCCAUUGCAUUAGUUGCAUCGGUUUGAGUUCUCCACGGUGAUACGUGGAAGUGAGAAGUUGAGAAGCUUACUACAUUUGGUACUUAGUACCCUUGAUAUUGUUCUUCGUGGAUGCUUUGGCGUCCUAGAAGCUUGGUGGUGUCUCGGAGCUCAAUCAUUGUGGUGUGAAGCUCCGGGAAGCGUCGGGGUCUCCAAUAAGGUUGUGGAGAUUGCCCCGAGCAAUUUGUACGGGUACCGGUAACCGCCCCCAAGGGUUGCCACGUGUACGGGUUCGGUGACCGCCCCCAAGGGUUGCCAUUUGUACGGGUUCGGUGACCGCCCCCAAGGGUUGCCAUUUGUACGGGUUCGGUGACCGCCCUCAAGGGUCCCUUAGUGGAAUCACGGCAUCUUCCAU
RNAcentral lists this long non-coding RNA (430 nucleotides) under Hordeum vulgare. Its description in RNAcentral is "long non-coding RNA (HVUL_LNC001180)". Lineage: Eukaryota; Viridiplantae; Streptophyta; Magnoliopsida; Poales; Poaceae. The record is from RNAcentral.